This 274-nucleotide ribosomal RNA is filed under the name uncultured bacterium. RNAcentral describes it as "partial 16S ribosomal RNA". It matches the Rfam family "Bacterial small subunit ribosomal RNA", at positions 523 to 796 of the family's 1533-position model. The record is from RNAcentral.
AUACGGAGGGUGCAAGCGUUAUUCGGAAUCACUGGGCGUAAAGGACGCGUAGGCGGGUUGGCAAGUCAGAUGUGAAAUCCUACAGCUUAACUGUAGAACUGCAUUUGAAACUGCUAACCUAGAGUAUGGGAGGGGGAGAUGGAAUUAGUGGUGUAGGGGUAAAAUCCGUAGAUAUCACUAGGAAUACCGAAAGCGAAGGCGAUCUCCUGGAACAUAACUGACGCUAAGGCGUGGAAGCGUGGGGAGCAAACAGGAUUAGAUACCCCAGUAGUCC